GAUGAACGCUGGCGGCGUGCCUAAUACAUGCAAGUCGAGCGAACAGACUAGGAGCUUGCUCCUCUGACGUUAGCGGCGGACGGGUGAGUAACACGUGGAUAACCUACCUAUAAAACUGGGUUAACCUCGGGAAAACGGAGCUAAUACGGGAAAAUAUAUUGAAUCGAAUGGUUAAAUAGUGAAAGACGGUUUUGAUGUUACUUAUAGAUUGAUAUGCGCUGCAUUAGUUUUAGGUGAAUGUAAGGGCUUACAAAGACAACGAGGCGUAGCAGCCCUGAGAGGGUGAUAGGCCACACUGGAACUGAGACACGGUCCAGACUCCUACGGGAGGCAGCAGUAGGGAAUCUUCAGCAAUGGGCGAAGGCCUGAAGGAGCAACGCCGCGGGAGUGAUGAAGGUCUUCGGGUCGUAAGACUCUGUUAUUAGGGAAGAAGAAAAGUGUAAGUAUCUAUGCACGUCUUGACGGUACCAUAUCAGAAAGCCACGGCUAACUACGUG
Molecule: ribosomal RNA, 497 nt
Filed under: uncultured bacterium
Lineage: Bacteria
Description: partial 16S ribosomal RNA
Rfam family: Bacterial small subunit ribosomal RNA
Source: RNAcentral